CUUCUUAAGGAGAAUUUGCAGAAAAUUCAGAAUAGAAUAAGACAACAGGCUGACAAGAAUUGAACAGAGAGAGAAUUUGUAGUAGGGAAUUGGGUUUUUUUGAAGCUUCAACCUUAUAGGCAAGCUUCAGUGGCUGUGAGGCAAUCUCUUAAGCUAUCUGCUCGGUAUUAUGGUCCUUUUGAAAUAUUAGCAAAGUUGGGACAGGUAGCUUAUAAGUUGGCCUUACCUGCAUCUUCAUCUAUCCAUCCUGUCUUCCAUGUUUCUAUGCUCAAAAAGAAAUUGGGAGAUGGUGUUACACCUAUUAGAGAACUGCCUUUGUACCAUGAAGAUCAGUCAGUUGUUGCUCUUGAGGAGGUGUUGCAAACCAGAGUUAUUUUGAGAGGUGAUCAACGGGUUGAGCAAGGCCUCAUUAAAUGGGUUAAUCUUCCACUUGAGGAUGCUACUUGGGAAGAUAAAAGUUUCAUCACUGCUCAAUUUCCAGAUUGUUCACUUUCUUGGGGACAAGAAAGUGCUUAAGAAGGGGGUAUUGUUACAUAUAAUAGAAGGAGGUAUAGGAAUAAGG
This 562-nucleotide unclassified non-coding RNA is filed under the name Hevea brasiliensis (rubber tree). The record is from RNAcentral. Lineage: Eukaryota; Viridiplantae; Streptophyta; Magnoliopsida; Malpighiales; Euphorbiaceae.